GAUGAACGCUGGCGGCGUGCUUAACACAUGCAAGUCGAACGGAAAGGCCACAGCUUGCUGUGGUACUCGAGUGGCGAACGGGUGAGUAACACGUGGGUGAUCUGCCCUGUACUUCGGGAUAAGCUUUGGAAUCUGGGUCUAAUACCGGAUAGGAAUCACAUGUGGGUGUGUGGUUGGAAAGCUUUUGCGGUAUGGGAUGAGCUCGCGGCCUAUCAGCUUGUUGGUGGGGUAAUGGCCUACCAAGGCGUCGACGGGUAGCCGGCCUGAGAGGGUGUACGGCCACAUUGGGACUGAGAUACGGCCCAGACUCCUACGGGAGGCAGCAGUGGGGAAUAUUGCACAAUGGGCGCAAGCCUGAUGCAGCGACGCCGCGUGGGGGAUGACGGCCUUCGGGUUGUAAACUCCUUUCGUCAGGGACGAAGCGAAAGUGACGGUACCUGGAUAAGAAGCACCGGCUAACUACGUG
RNAcentral lists this ribosomal RNA (466 nucleotides) under uncultured bacterium. RNAcentral's name for it is "partial 16S ribosomal RNA". It matches the Rfam family "Bacterial small subunit ribosomal RNA", at positions 28 to 507 of the family's 1533-position model. The record is from RNAcentral.